CGGCGGACGGGUGAGUAACGCGUGGGUAACCUGCCUCAUACAGGGGGAUAACAGUUGGAAACGGCUGCUAAUACCGCAUAAGCGCACAGUACCGCAUGGUACGGUGUGAAAAACUCCGGUGGUAUGAGAUGGACCCGCGUCUGAUUAGCUAGUUGGUGAGGUAACGGCCUACCAAGGCGACGAUCAGUAGCCGGCCUGAGAGGGUGAACGGCCACAUUGGGACUGAGACACGGCCCAA
This 238-nucleotide ribosomal RNA is filed under the name uncultured bacterium. RNAcentral describes it as "partial 16S ribosomal RNA". It matches the Rfam family "Bacterial small subunit ribosomal RNA", at positions 96 to 334 of the family's 1533-position model. The record is from RNAcentral.